AAUAAUUGCAGUUUCUGGUGCCCCAAAAAGAAGGUUCAGGGAAUACACACCUGCUGUGACCAAAAAUGCUAAUUCAACAGAUGUUAGAAAGGCCCGAAAAGCUGAACUCCAGAGAGAUGAAGCCGUCGGGAAAGCAUUGCCAAUUGCAAUUGCGGUUGGAGUUGUCGCACUUGCUGGCUUGUACUUCUACCUCAACAACACUUUCUAGAAGUUUUGCCAGAAACAAGUGUGCAAAUCUGAUUUCAGUUUUGUAGGUUCUGAUUGUUCGAUAUCUCAUUUAAUUCUGUAUAAUAUGUUUGUCAUCCAGCAAAUUUAUAUGAAC
This is a long non-coding RNA of Helianthus annuus (common sunflower), 322 nucleotides long. RefSeq lists it as uncharacterized. The transcript is spliced from 2 exons. The record is from RefSeq and is a predicted model, not a curated record. Lineage: Eukaryota; Viridiplantae; Streptophyta; Magnoliopsida; Asterales; Asteraceae.